RNAcentral lists this ribosomal RNA (669 nucleotides) under uncultured Paenibacillus sp. RNAcentral describes it as "bacterial SSU rRNA". It matches the Rfam family "Bacterial small subunit ribosomal RNA", at positions 832 to 1498 of the family's 1533-position model. The record is from RNAcentral. Lineage: Bacteria; Bacillati; Bacillota; Bacilli; Caryophanales; Paenibacillaceae.
CAAACCCCUCGGUGCCCGAAGUUACCACAAUAAGCAUUCCACUCGGGGAGUAGGCUCUCAAGAGUGAAACUCAAAGGAAUGACGGGGACCCGCACAAGCAGUGGAGUAUGUGCUUUAAUUCGAAGCAACCCCACGAACCUUACCAGGUCUUGACAUCCCCCUGAAUCACGUAGAGAUAGGUGCGGCAUUCGGGACAGGGGAGACAGGUGGUGCAUGGUUGUCGUCAGCUCGUGUCGUGAGAUGUUGGGUUAAGUCCCGCAACGAGCGCAACCCUUGAAUUCAGUUGCCAGCACGUAAGGGUGGGCACUCUGAAUUGACUGCCGGUGACAAACCGGAGGAAGGCGGGGAUGACGUCAAAUCAUCAUGCCCCUUAUGACCUGGGCUACACACGUACUACAAUGGCCGGUACAACGGGCCGCGAAGCCGCGAGGCGGAGCCAAUCCUUAAAAGCCGGUCUCAGUUCGGAUUGCAGGCUGCAACUCGCCUGCAUGAAGUCGGAAUUGCUAGUAAUCGCGGAUCAGCAUGCCACGGUGAAUACGUUCCCGGGUCUUGUACACACCGCCCGUCACACCACGAGAGUUUACAACACCCGAAGUCGGUGGGGUAACCCGCAAGGGAGCCAGCCGCCGAAGGUGGGGUAGAUGAUUGGGGUGAAGUCGUAACAAGGUA